This 1428-nucleotide ribosomal RNA is filed under the name human vaginal metagenome. RNAcentral's name for it is "bacterial SSU rRNA". It matches the Rfam family "Bacterial small subunit ribosomal RNA". The record is from RNAcentral.
AUUCUGGCUCAGGAUGAACGCUGGCGGCGUGCUUAACACAUGCAAGUCGAACGGGAUCUGGUCAGCUUGCUGACUGGUGAGAGUGGCGAACGGGUGAGUAAUGCGUGACCAACCUGCCCCAUGCUCCAGAAUAGCUCUUGGAAACGGGUGGUAAUGCUGGAUGCUCCAACUUGACGCAUGUCUUGUUGGGAAAGUGUUUAGUGGCAUGGGAUGGGGUCGCGUCCUAUCAGCUUGUAGGCGGGGUAAUGGCCCACCUAGGCUUCGACGGGUAGCCGGCCUGAGAGGGCGGACGGCCACAUUGGGACUGAGAUACGGCCCAGACUCCUACGGGAGGCAGCAGUGGGGAAUAUUGCGCAAUGGGGGGAACCCUGACGCAGCGACGCCGCGUGCGGGAUGAAGGCCUUCGGGUUGUAAACCGCUUUUGAUUGGGAGCAAGCUUUCGGGUGAGUGUACCUUUCGAAUAAGCGCCGGCUAACUACGUGCCAGCAGCCGCGGUAAUACGUAGGGCGCAAGCGUUAUCCGGAAUUAUUGGGCGUAAAGAGCUUGUAGGCGGUUCGUCGCGUCUGGUGUGAAAGCCCAUCGCUUAACGGUGGGUUUGCGCCGGGUACGGGCGGGCUAGAGUGCAGUAGGGGAGACUGGAAUUCCCGGUGUAACGGUGGAAUGUGUAGAUAUCGGGAAGAACACCAAUGGCGAAGGCAGGUCUCUGGGCUGUUACUGACGCUGAGAAGCGAAAGCGUGGGGAGCGAACAGGAUUAGAUACCCUGGUAGUCCACGCCGUAAACGGAGUACGGCCGCAAGGCUAAAACUCAAAGAAAUUGACGGGGGCCCGCACAAGCGGCGGAGCAUGCGGAUUAAUUCGAUGCAACGCGAAGAACCUUACCUGGGCUUGACAUGUGCCUGUCGACUGCAGAGAUGUGGUUUCCCUUCGGGGCAGGUUCACAGGUGGUGCAUGGUCGUCGUCAGCUCGUGUCGUGAGAUGUUGGGUUAAGUCCCGCAACGAGCGCAACCCUCGCCCUGUGUUGCCAGCGGGUUAUGCCGGGAACUCACGGGGGACCGCCGGGGUUAACUCGGAGGAAGGUGGGGAUGACGUCAGAUCAUCAUGCCCCUUACGUCCAGGGCUUCACGCAUGCUACAAUGGCCGGUACAACGGGAUGCGACAUGGUGACAUGGAGCGGAUCCCUUAAAACCGGUCUCAGUUCGGAUCGUAGUCUGCAACUCGACUACGUGAAGGCGGAGUCGCUAGUAAUCGCGAAUCAGCAACGUCGCGGUGAAUGCGUUCCCGGGCCUUGUACACACCGCCCGUCAAGUCAUGAAAGUGGGCAGCACCCGAAGCCGGUGGCCUAACCCUUUUGGGAUGGAGCCGUCUAAGGUGAGGCUCGUGAUUGGGACUAAGUCGUAACAAGGUAGCCGUACCGGAAGGUGCGGCUG